CAGGAUAACAUUUUCUGCUCUAACAGAAGUCCAUUAGCCUGCUUCAAACGCAAAGAAUCAACAACUGGUGUAACUUUAACGGCAUACAACAUCAUCACAUGCACAAAAUGGAUCAAUAUAAGAAUUAUACCAAUCUUUUUUUUGAGUCUUAGUUGAAAAGUGAUUGCAUCUUCAAAAUUGAAAACUAUAAUGCAAAUUGUACCCUUGUAUAUGCAUCGUAUUCGAGGCCAAGCCUUAGAAGCUCUGCGAUGUCACUCUUCAAAAACUUCAGCACUGCUUUCUUCCUAUUCUGUAUUCUCUCCAGCCGAAUUUUCAAAGCCUUCACGUAAGACAAGCUGGUUUUUUUAGUGAAACACAACCAAAAAUCAGUAAGAAAAGAAAAAUUUUCCCAUAAAAGGUUGAGAGGAAAAGUAGCAGAGUGGAGGUUAGUGCUGUACCAUUUUGAAUAGAACCUGGGCUUCAAUAGCCACCGAAACAUUUUGUGUCCUAGAAUCUGAAAAGACCAAGUUUGCUGAAAAUGGAAAAUGACUUUUGUUGGGUAUCUUAGAUGCUGUGUUAUUGUUAAAUAACUAGAAGUAUAGAAUCUGAAGAUCAAGUUACGCAAGAAUCAGCAUUGAGGAGGCCUCAAAGAAAAGAAAUGGAGAGGCUAAUCACUGGGGGUAAAAUCAGAAACCAGACUAAGAAAGAGACCUCAACAAAUUAUCCUAAGAGCUAGGAAAUCUAGAGAGAAAAAGGGCAUCUUAAGUCUGCAAAAUUAACCAAUAAAAAGGUUGAACAACUUUGAGGGAACAUAUAUAUAUAUAUAUAUAUAUAUAUAUAUAUAUAUAUAUAUAUAUAUAUAUAUAUAUAUAUANAUAUAUAUAUAUAUAUAUAUAUAUAUAUAUAUAUAUAUAUAUAUAUAUAUAUAUAUAGAGAGAGAGAGAGAGAGAGAGAGAGAGAGAGAGAGAGAGAUCUAAGUUAUGACUAUAAGAGUUAUAUAUUCAGUACGAUGUGGCCAACAAAAGAAGUUCCAAGCUUGUCCACCAAGAAACAAAAAAUUGAAGCCAAAAAGACAGUAGCAGAUUGGUGAAAAAAAGGGUCUUAACUUGAAGCUUGCAUCACAGUUAGAUGGAGGACAAGAGAAAAAGAAACAGUUAUGAAAUUAGCUGUCAGUUUGAUACUCUGAGAAAUUGCAUGUGCAUAAGAAAAGGAGAAAGGAAAAACAACUUCUGUAAAGUAGUACUUUUCUUCUAUGUAUGUGUGACAGUUACAGUGUUGAAAAUGAUUUACCAGUAUCAAUUAGGAUUAACAUGGUUCCAAUCUAUGUUUGUUAUAUUAAUAAGCAUCUACUUAUACUUAUAAUCCUUCAGUAAUUUAUGAAUUAAGUAUACUUAUUUAAUAUUGGGUGUACCAAAACAUAAUUGAACCACAAACAUUAACUGGCAUUACAAGAAUGAAACUGAGAUGUUACUGUGAUAAAUGAAAGGAUAGUGAUCAAAAGGGUGAUUCUUAUUUUGUGUAAUGUAAAAGAUUAUGACCUCCUUUAACAUGAUCAUUGCUUGCUGUCAACAGGGAUUCAGAAAGUGAUGUAUAAUGAAAGAUGUCACAAGCAAUGACAAGUUAAAGUUGGCGUAAAUUUGAGGCCAGGGACAGGUAGGGUAUGUUCAUGCGUUGAAUCAAAUAUUGUUUAUUUCUUGUUCAGUAAUUCAGCAAUAUAGUAUUCAGAAAGCAUGGAAAAAAGAAGCUACAAAGUUACAUUGAAUGAGUUUCUUUUUGCGUGCUCCUUUUUCUUACUGAGAAAUUGGAGUCAACUUGCGUGACCCUUGACUUGAUCCUUGUUCUUUAUUCUAAAACUAUGCUUGUUAGAUUCCUUUUUUAAUGUUCACUUGAUCACUUUGCUUGGUGAUCAAGAAUACUCAGGCUUUUCUCACACAUGAGGAUCAUAACUGAUGCAAAAACUCAAAAGCGUGCAAGCUUUUUUGCAUGAUACGAGGGUACGUUGUUGUGAGGUUCUGUUGGGGUAAACAUGCUAAAUGAUGGCUUUCAUUGUGUGUCACAUGAAUGAGUGUAUGCAUUUAAUAUCUAGCGGUGAACUUUAAUACUAUCCCAAUCUCAC
RNAcentral lists this long non-coding RNA (2095 nucleotides) under Vigna radiata. Its description in RNAcentral is "long non-coding RNA (VRAD_LNC009435)". Lineage: Eukaryota; Viridiplantae; Streptophyta; Magnoliopsida; Fabales; Fabaceae. The record is from RNAcentral.